RNAcentral lists this ribosomal RNA (458 nucleotides) under uncultured bacterium. RNAcentral describes it as "bacterial SSU rRNA". It matches the Rfam family "Bacterial small subunit ribosomal RNA", at positions 28 to 507 of the family's 1533-position model. The record is from RNAcentral.
GAUGAACGCUAGCUACAGGCCUAACACAUGCAACCGAUGAUGGCGACCGGCGCACGGGUGAGUAACGCGUAUCCAACCUACCCUUGUCCAUCGGAUAACCCGUCGAAAGGCGGCCUAACACGAUAUGCGGUUCUCAGCAGGCAUCUAACGAGAACGAAAUGUGAAGGAGAAGGAUGGGGAUGCGUCUGAUUAGCUUGUUGGCGGGGUAACGGCCCACCAAGGCGACGAUCAGUAGGGGUUCUGAGAGGAAGGUCCCCCACAUUGGAACUGAGACACGGUCCAAACUCCUACGGGAGGCAGCAGUGAGGAAUAUUGGUCAAUGGGCGAGAGCCUGAACCAGCCAAGUAGCGUGCAGGACGACGGCCCUAUGGGUUGUAAACUGCUUUUAUAUGGGGAUAAAGUGAGCUACGUGUAGUUUAUUGCAGGUACCAUAUGAAUAAGGACCGGCUAAUUCCGUG